GACUCUGGGCAGUGGAUGACUAGGCCGUGCAUCUAGUAAGAAUACAGCUAUUUGUAAGAGAUAUUGUGAAUGGCAGGACACAUUACUUGCUGAUCGUUUGAACACACUUGUGGCCCCAUGUUCAUUUUGGGGCUUGUCGCUCAACGGAGAGUUU
RNAcentral lists this ribosomal RNA (154 nucleotides) under Sphenodon punctatus (tuatara). RNAcentral describes it as "5.8S ribosomal RNA (ENSSPUG00000009803.1)". It matches the Rfam family "5.8S ribosomal RNA". Rfam says of the family: 5.8S ribosomal RNA (5.8S rRNA) is a component of the large subunit of the eukaryotic ribosome. It is transcribed by RNA polymerase I as part of the 45S precursor that also contains 18S and 28S rRNA. Lineage: Eukaryota; Metazoa; Chordata; Lepidosauria; Sphenodontia; Sphenodontidae. The record is from Rfam by way of RNAcentral.